This 838-nucleotide long non-coding RNA is filed under the name Fragaria vesca (wild strawberry). RNAcentral describes it as "long non-coding RNA (FVES_LNC004506)". Lineage: Eukaryota; Viridiplantae; Streptophyta; Magnoliopsida; Rosales; Rosaceae. The record is from RNAcentral.
ACAAAUUAUCUCUGAGUCAAAAUUGGUUGGCCUCGAAACUCACUGAACUGUUCUGCAGAUUCCGCUGUGCCCUGUUUCUGCCCUCUGUCACUUGGAACAUAAUAUCUGUAGCUAGGGAAAUGAAAACUGAAAACUGUUUUACCAGCAUGCACUAGACAUCUGAAGGCACAUCUCUGAAAAAUUUCAGCUCAAAAUGACAUGAUAUGUAGAAGAAGUGCCUCUUCAAAGUCAUUGCACAGUAGCAGUCUCUGUUCUGAUCUCCAUGCUUUGACCAUUUAAUAACUACAGUUCCAGUGACUCAAACACGCUAAAAUUUGGAAACAACACAGUAGGCACAUAGGGGUAAUACUCCAAAAUUUUUCAGCUCCAAAUAGCAUCCAUACGGAAAAAUAUGAUCCCCCAAAGUCGACUGAAAAUCUGGACAGAAACUGUUCACUUCCCCAUUCUUGCAUUCUUCACGAUUCCGAUUCCAAACACCUCCCAACCUCCCAAAAGUUACUAUAAAGUCUUAUUCAACACAAAAAGAAGCUAAUAAAAACAGGAAUGUUACCGAUGAUGUGCUAGGGUUGCCUCCCUAGCGAGCGCUUUGUUUAAGGAUGUCGUUGCCGGUCCAUAAGAUGUGAGUUUCAUCAAGUUGGAUACUUCUCAAGUGCGACGACCCUAUUGUUAGGGGCUAAGGGACCCCUUGACAUAUCAUAGAGGCAUGACCAGGAGCUACAAAAGAAUACUCCAUUUUGAGGCCAAAAGAGUAGCCUCUUAGCUUUCCUCUUCUCAAUUCUACUUCGAGGAGCCAUCCUUACCUUCUCCUUCAAGAUAGAUGUAGAAAUGGUGCUNNNNN